Molecule: ribosomal RNA, 679 nt
Filed under: Staphylococcus aureus
Lineage: Bacteria; Bacillati; Bacillota; Bacilli; Caryophanales; Staphylococcaceae
Description: partial 23S ribosomal RNA
Rfam family: Bacterial large subunit ribosomal RNA
Source: RNAcentral
GGUGAAAAGCACCCCGGAAGGGGAGUGAAAUAGAACCUGAAACCGUGUGCUUACAAGUAGUCAGAGCCCGUUAAUGGGUGAUGGCGUGCCUUUUGUAGAAUGAACCGGCGAGUUACGAUUUGAUGCAAGGUUAAGCAGUAAAUGUGGAGCCGUAGCGAAAGCGAGUCUGAAUAGGGCGUUUAGUAUUUGGUCGUAGACCCGAAACCAGGUGAUCUACCCUUGGUCAGGUUGAAGUUCAGGUAACACUGAAUGGAGGACCGAACCGACUUACGUUGAAAAGUGAGCGGAUGAACUGAGGGUAGCGGAGAAAUUCCAAUCGAACCUGGAGAUAGCUGGUUCUCUCCGAAAUAGCUUUAGGGCUAGCCUCAAGUGAUGAUUAUUGGAGGUAGAGCACUGUUUGGACGAGGGGCCCCUCUCGGGUUACCGAAUUCAGACAAACUCCGAAUGCCAAUUAAUUUAACUUGGGAGUCAGAACAUGGGUGAUAAGGUCCGUGUUCGAAAGGGAAACAGCCCAGACCACCAGCUAAGGUCCCAAAAUAUAUGUUAAGUGGAAAAGGAUGUGGCGUUGCCCAGACAACUAGGAUGUUGGCUUAGAAGCAGCCAUCAUUUAAAGAGUGCGUAAUAGCUCACUAGUCGAGUGACACUGCGCCGAAAAUGUACCGGGGCUAAACAUAUUACC